GAUGAACGCUAGCGGCAGGCUUAAUACAUGCAAGUCGAGGGAGAAUGGGGCUUCGGCCCCAGGGAACCGGCGCACGGGUGCGUAACGCGUACACAACAUGCCUUAUACUGGAGUAUAGCCUCGGGAAACUGGGAGUAAUCCUCCAUAACAUUAUCGGGUGGCAUCACCUGGUAAUUAAAGCUCAGGCGGUAUAAGAUUGGUGUGCGUAUGAUUAGCUAGUUGGUAGGGUAACGGCCUACCAAGGCGACGAUCAUUAGCUGGCGUGAGAGCGCGACCAGACAAACUGGAACUGAGACACGGUCCAGACUCCUACGGGAGGCAGCAGUAGGGAAUAUUGGACAAUGGGCGAAAGCCUGAUCCAGCCAUGCCGCGCGAUGGAUGAAGGCCCUCUGGGUUGUAAACAUCUUUUAUCAGGGAAGAAACACCCCGUUUCUACGGGAUUUGACGGUACCUGAUGAAUAAGCACCGGCUAACUCCGUGCCAGCAGCCGCCGUAA
This 496-nucleotide ribosomal RNA is filed under the name uncultured bacterium. Its description in RNAcentral is "partial 16S ribosomal RNA". It matches the Rfam family "Bacterial small subunit ribosomal RNA", at positions 28 to 523 of the family's 1533-position model. The record is from RNAcentral.